AUGUGCCAGAAAGAGGCCACGGUAGCACAGUGGUUAAAGCUGCUAGCUGUAGGAAAGGCUGCUGACUGGAGGGUGAACAGUUCAAAACCACGAGUUAGGUCACUGUGUGUAUGUCUUUGGCGGUGGGACCAGCUUGACAAUCCUAGGUCAACCAAUUGUCCCUCCUUCGGUGUCUGUCUUCCCUCCAUCCCAGGAGGAGCUCAAGAGCAAGAACAAAGCCACCUUGGCCUGUCUGAUGGAUGGCUUUUACCCACGUGUUAUCCAGGUUGAGUGGAAGGCCAAUGACCGCACCAUCUCUGCUGGAGUCGAGACCAGCACGCCAGUCAAACAGGGUGACAAAUACGUGGCCAGCAGUUACUUGACUCUCAGUCGGUCUGAAUGGGAAGCUAAUGAGGAGUACACCUGCAAGGUUACCCAUGAAAGCAAGGCCAUUGAGAAGGUGGUCAGUCAAUCGGCAUGUUCUUAAAUGGUGGAUGUCUCAGUAGUUUGAAAGCUUCACUUGUAGUCCUCAGAUCUCCAUCUCAAAAUAGAGUCAUCC
Molecule: non-coding RNA, 538 nt
Organism: Anolis sagrei ordinatus
Lineage: Eukaryota; Metazoa; Chordata; Lepidosauria; Squamata; Anolidae
Source: the annotation of a RefSeq genome assembly